Molecule: ribosomal RNA, 423 nt
Filed under: Helcococcus sp. canine oral taxon 069
Lineage: Bacteria; Bacillati; Bacillota; Tissierellia; Tissierellales; Peptoniphilaceae
Description: bacterial SSU rRNA
Rfam family: Bacterial small subunit ribosomal RNA
Source: RNAcentral
GAGUUUGAUUAUGGCUCAGGACAAACGCUGGCGGCGUGCAUAACACAUGCAAGUCGAACGAAAUCUACAUGAUUUAGUGGCGAACGGGUGAGUAACACGUGAGAAACCUGCCUUACACAGAGGGAUAGCCGUUGGAAACGACGAUUAAUACCUCAUGACACCGUGACAUCGCAUGAUGAUGCGGUCAAAGAUUUAUCGGUGUAAGAUGGUCUCGCGCCUGAUUAGCUGGUUGGUGGGGUAACGGCCUACCAAGGCGACGAUCAGUAGCCGAUCUGAGAGGGUGGACGGCCACAUUGGGACUGAGACACGGCCCAAACUCCUACGGGAGGCAGCAGUGGGGAAUUUUGCACAAUGGGGGAAACCCUGAUGCAGCGACGCCGCGUGAACGAAGAAGGCCUUCGGGUUGUAAAGUUCUGUCCUUGG